CGUAGGCCCUUACUAUAAGUUUGCACUCGGCACAGGUCGAAAGGGCAAACAAUCGAUAGUGUCGGGUUGCAAGAGCGAGUGAGAGUUGAGUCAGUCAGUUCCGGGUUUCGGGCCGAGCCGUGCGGAGGCCGGUUGCUGUGAUACAAGGUUUACCGACAAAGGGAGUGGCCAUCGCCGCGGUUUAACCCCUUUGUGUUAGAAAAAUACGGGAAAGUGAAGAAGUUUAAUUACGAGAGUGAUCAGUGAUAUUUUUGUGACGAUAUUUAUUUGGUUUCGCAUCUACCGCGCCGGCAUCAUUUGGAUUGCAGUGUUGGAUUGCAGUGAUUGAAUUUGCGUGUGACAAUAAUGAAUAACGAAGAGGCCUGUGCUGAGAUUAGCCGUAAUUAAACAUGUAUGACGAAGGCAGUGGCUGUCUCCUUUUCUUGUGUUUUUGAGACGAAUGUAGGUUCUUGAUUAAUGAA
Long non-coding RNA from Schistocerca nitens (vagrant locust), 461 nucleotides. RefSeq lists it as uncharacterized. NCBI's taxonomy places the organism in Eukaryota, Metazoa, Arthropoda, Insecta, Orthoptera, Acrididae. The record is from RefSeq and is a predicted model, not a curated record. The transcript has 2 exons.